UGCCAGACUCCUACGGGAGGCAGCAGUGGGGAAUAUUGCACAAUGGGGGGAACCCUGAUGCAGCGACGCCGCGUGGGUGAAGAAGUCCUUCGUGACGUAAAGCCCUAUCGGCAGGGAAGAAGGAGGACGGUACCUGACUAAGAAGCCCCGGCUAACUACGUGCCAGCAGCCGCGGUAAUACGUAGGGGGCAAGCGUUAUCCGGAUUUACUGGGUGUAAAGGGGGCGCAGACGGCAGCGCAAGCCAGGAGUGAAAGCCCGGGGCCCAACCCCGGGACUGCUCUUGGAACUGCGCGGCUGGAGUGCAGGAGGGGCAGGCGGAAUUCCUGGUGUGGCGGUGAAAUGCGUAGAUAUCAGGAGGAACACCGGUGGCGAAGGCGGCCUGCUGGACUGCGACUGACGUUGAGGCCCGAAAGCGUGGGGAGCAAACAGGAUUAGAUACCCGCGUAAUC
Molecule: ribosomal RNA, 450 nt
Filed under: uncultured bacterium
Lineage: Bacteria
Description: partial 16S ribosomal RNA
Rfam family: Bacterial small subunit ribosomal RNA
Source: RNAcentral